UACGAAGGGGGCUAGCGUUGUUCGGAAUCACUGGGCGUAAAGGGCGCGUAGGCGGCUAGAUAAGUCGGGGGUGAAAGCCUGUGGCUCAACCACAGAAUUGCCUUCGAUACUGUCUGGCUUGAGACCGGAAGAGGUUAGUGGAACUGCGAGUGUAGAGGUGAAAUUCGUAGAUAUUCGCAAGAACACCAGUGGCGAAGGCGGCUGACUGGUCCGGUUCUGACGCUGAGGCGCGAAGGCGUGGGGAGCGAACGGG
Molecule: ribosomal RNA, 253 nt
Filed under: uncultured bacterium
Lineage: Bacteria
Description: partial 16S ribosomal RNA
Rfam family: Bacterial small subunit ribosomal RNA
Source: RNAcentral